This is a long non-coding RNA of Gallus gallus (chicken), 2155 nucleotides long. The record is from Ensembl. Lineage: Eukaryota; Metazoa; Chordata; Aves; Galliformes; Phasianidae.
AGUAACUUGAAAUAGAAGAGUCCAUGGUUAACAUGCUGAGAAACUAAUCCAGAAUGGAUUUGAGAUCACAUUCAGAACAUCCUCUCCUAUAUUGGCUGGCAGACUCAAUGGACUGGAACAAACUCUGCAGUGGACUUAGGUCUUUGAUUCCUUUGAGAAAAUGUGCACCUGGAAUCUACCCAGGGCUUUCACAAUGGGCUGAACCAGCUCCUCCAGACUCUGGGAAAGUUCAGACCCACAUUCCCACUCGCUGGCUCGGAACCAUCUGAGCUUUGAUCUUGUAUAUAUUUCAUCAAGUUGCACAUCACUGGCUCCCAAUUGUGGCUCAGGCUGAUUGCAUCAUUUAAGAAAAGUGCUACAGGAGGCGUGGGGAAAACAACCAUUUUUGGUCCACGCUCUCUACAAAUACAUGCAACAACAACAAAAGGAAAAGAGAAAGAGUGAGCCAUUUUUAACCAAACUGUAUUGCUGCAAGGGUGAAAAGCUUAACCCCAACAUGACAUCAUAAGAUUUACUCAUUCUUUGGGCCCAGACAGAAGUUAUGGGCCCAAAGAGGGGAUUUCCCAAUGAAAUUCUGUGGCUUGUGUUAUGCAGGAAGUAAGCCUCUAUGAGUCUUAAUGGUCACUGAAAGCUAUAAACGCAACUCAGCAUACUUGCAGGAUACGUAGGAGCUUCACUGAGAAGGCCACUCCAACCUACAGCCCAGCAGCUGGAUAAUUUCCAUUGGCCUCACAAUUGCUUGAGUGAAAGUCAAGACAAGGUCUCCUGAUUCCUGCCUCAAACUGAUUCUAGUUUGAUAUUUCCAACAACAUAUUUGUUUGGUUCUCUCCAUGAGCUCUGCCUGAAUUCUAGUGAUUUGGAAAAAUGAGCUGGAACAAAUGGCCCAGCUUUGGAGCGUUUCGUAAGUAACAAUAUUACAAAUAGGAACAGUUUUUCAUGCCUGGAGAAGCGUUGGCACCAUAAGAGAUCUUUGAGCAAAUUUGCCCUCUAUCUGUUCAGGACAUUGUGAUUAUUUUUCAUGGGACUCCAGUCAAAUCCUCUAAAUUGCCCAGUCAACUUGGACUUGAUCUCAACAGAAAAGAAAUAAAGAAAAAGAAAUAAUAAGAAAAAAACCACCUCAAAUCCAUUACGUUUUAAAAUCAAAAUAUUUCACAAUUUGAAGUGAAAAGAGGGAAAAUGAGUUCAAAGCAGUGUUUCUUAGAACCAGCUGUCCAGCUUGCCAUGUCACUUCAAGAAAUGCUUUGGAUCAAUGUUUUCGGUAGACAGGAGAUGGACCGAUCAAACGAAACAAUUGUCCCUGGCUUGUGCCUCUGUUCCUGCAAAUGAGGCCAGAAAUGCUUAUUAACAUCUAAGGAGCUUGUGGAGCUGUAUAGAGAAGAGCCAGUGAGCAGGAGACCUCUUCUUCAUUUUAUUCAUCUGGAUGCCAUCAUAGAGCAAUAACUGUGAGAGGUGUGCUCCCUGAGUUGUUGUUUGAAAGGAAGUCUUCUUCCUCUGCCUCCACUAGCCAGUGUCAAAAAGUGACACAGCCUGCAAAGAUCCAUCACUUCUCCCCAGAAGGUUAUCUCUGUCUGCUGCUGGGACCCCAAGGCCCUCAAGAAGAUUUUGGAAUUUUGGUGAACAAUCUUUGCCUUCAUAUAUAUAUAUGAUAUUUGUAGAAAUGCCUUUCAUUCUUCUGGCUUUGGGCACGAUCUGGUGUUACUGCUGUCACCCUCUAUUACCUGAUAUAAACAUAUUGAGACCAUUUAUUUUAUCAAAUAGAAUGCCUACAGACACUGCAGGUUGUUUGCCUCAUGCCUGGCAAGCCUCCAACAGCCAACACAUGUCUUGCUUGUUUUCCAGGAACCUUCCUCAAACAAAAUUAAUUGUUGCUUAGUGGACUUUUGUCAUCAAGCCAAAAGUAUAGGGUUCAGAACCAAUUAAUGAUUAGAAAUAAACAGCCAUUGUACUGUUUUUUGGCACUUCCUGGUUGCCACAGUAUGGAGUCAUGGAUUUCCCACACUUCCUAGCCCAGCACAUAUUUUUUCUUGUUGUGCUGAUGGGUUGAUGAUUGGACUAGAUGAUCUUUUCCAACCUUAAUGAUUCUAUGAUUCUAUAAAUACGUUAGCCCCAUCUUUUUUUUUUUCCUGAAAUGAUUAAAAAAUAAAGACUUGUAAGC